This 6889-nucleotide long non-coding RNA is filed under the name Oncorhynchus mykiss (rainbow trout). RNAcentral describes it as "lncRNA (ENSOMYG00000075431.1)". The record is from RNAcentral. Lineage: Eukaryota; Metazoa; Chordata; Actinopteri; Salmoniformes; Salmonidae.
CAUUGGUCAAAGUCAUUCUGUUGAUAAAUAUUUGUCUUUUACCUUCAAAUUAAUCAUGUGUGCCCAUUUCUCUGUGACCACAGACUAAAAAGAAAACAGUUUCAAAGAUGAACAGAAACAUUAUCAUAGUCCUUCUUCUGAUUAUAGCAUCAGGGAAUGCCCAAAGCCCAACAACGAAUGCCCCCACAACCACAGCUGCCACCACAACACUGCUGCCGGUCACAACAACCACAGCUGCUUCGACUACAACAACAGCAGCAACCACCACAAUCACAGGAGCUGCCAUCACAACCCCUACUGCUCCUACUACAUCCAUAUCUCCUGUCAUGACAACCACAGAUGCUCCAACUACAACCACAAAUGGAGUCACAACAUCCACAGUUUCUCCCACAACAAUCACAGCUGCUGCCACAACAACCACAGAUGCUCCAACUACAACCACAGCUACUGCUGCAACACCAACCACAGCUGCUGCCACGACAACCACAGAUGCUCCAACUACAACAACAAAUGGAGUCACAACCACAGUUUCGCCCAAAACAACCACAGGUGCUGCUACGGUCACCACAGCAGGCAUCACAACUACCACAGAUUCUCAUUCAACAACCACAGCUGCUCCAACUACAACCACAGCUACUGCGGCAACACCAACCACAACUGCUGCCACGACAACCACAGAUGCUCCAAUUACAACAACAAAUGGAGUCACAACAACCACAGUUUUUCCCACAACAACCACAGCUGCUUUCACAACAACCACAGGUGCUGCAACCACAACCACAGCUGCCCCCACGACCACCACAGCUGGCAUGACAACUACCACAAUUCCGGUCACAACAACCACAGCUGCUUCGACUACAACAACUGCAGCAACCACCACAAUCACAGGAGCUGCCACCACAACCACUACUGCUCCUACUACAACCACAGCUCAUGUCACGACAACCACAGAUGCUCCAACUACAACCACAAAUGGAGUCACAACAUCCACAGUUUCUCCCACAACAACAACAGCUGCUUUCACAACAACCACAGGUGCUGCAACCACAACCACAGCUGCCCCUACGACCACCACAGCUGGCAUGACAACUUCCACAAUUCCGGUCACAACAACCACAGCUUCUUCGACUUCAACAACAGCAGCAACCACCACAAUCACAGGAGCUGCCACCACAACCACUACUGCUCCUACUACAUCAAUAGCUCCUGUCAUGACAACCACAGAUGCUCCAACUACAACCACAAAUGGUGUCACAACAUCCACAGUUUCUCCCACAACAACCACAGCUGCUGCCACAACAACCACAAGUGCUGCCACCACAACCACAGGUGCCGCCACGGUCACCACAGCAGGCAUCACAGCUACCACAGUUGCUCAUUCAACAUCCACAGCUGCUCCAACUACAACCUCAACUACGUCAAUGAUGACCACCACAGCUCCUGCCAUGACAACGACACCUGCAACUGCUGGAGCAGCCACCUUAACCACAGUUGCUGUCAUGACAACCACAGAUAAUCCAACUACAACCACAAAUGGAGUCACAACAUCCACAGUUUCUCCCACAACAACCACAGUUUCUCCCACAACAACCACAGGUGCUGCCACCACAACCACAGGUGCUGCUACGGUCACCACAGCAGGCAUCACAACUACCACAAUUGCUCAAUCAACAACCACAGCUGCUCCAACUACAACCUCAACUACGUCCAUGGUGACCACCACAGUUCCUGCCAUGACAACGACACCUGCAACGGCUGCCGCUGCAACCACAACCACAGUUGCUGCAACAAUGACCACAGGUGCUCCAACUACAACAACAGCUACUGCUGCAACCACAACCACAGCUGCACCCACGGCCACCACAGCUGGCAAGACAACUACCACAAUUCCGGUCACAACAACCACAGCUGCUUCGACUGCAACAACUGCAGCAACCACCACAAUCACAGGAGCUGCCACCACAACCACUACUGCUCCUACUACAACCACAGCUCAUGUCACGACAACCACAGAUGCUCCAACUACAACCACAAAUGGAGUCACAACAUCCACAGUUUCUCCCACAACAAUCACAGCUGCUGCCACAACAACCACAGAUGCUCCAACUACAACAACAAAUGGAGUCACAACCACAGUUUCUCCCACAACAACCACAGGUGCUGCUACGGUCACCACAGCAGGCAUCACAACUACCACAGAUUCUCAUUCAACAACCACAGCUGCUCCAACUACAACCACAGCUACUGCUGCAACACCAACCACAGCUGCUUCCACGACAACCACAGAUGCUCCAAUUACAACAACAAAUGGAGUCACAACAACCACAGUUUUUCCCACAACAACCACAGCUGCUUUCACAACAACCACAGGUGCUGCAACCACAACCACAGCUGCCCCCACGACCACCACAGCUGGCAUGACGACUACCACAAUUCCGGUCACAACAACCACAGCUGCUUCGACUACAACAACUGCAGGAACCACCACAAUCACAGGAGCUGCCACCACAACCACUACUGCUCCUACUACAACCACAGCUCAUGUCACGACAACCACAGAUGCUCCAACUACAACCACAAAUGGAGUCACAACAUCCACAGUUUCUCCCACAACAACAACAGCUGCUUUCACAACAACCACAGGUGCUGCAACCACAACCACAGCUGCCCCUACGACCACCACAGCUGGCAUGACAACUUCCACAAUUCCGGUCACAACAACCACAGCUUCUUCGACUUCAACAACAGCAGCAACCACCACAAUCACAGGAGCUGCCACCACAACCACUACUGCUCCUACUACAUCAAUCGCUCCUGUCAUGACAACCACAGAUGCUCCAACUACAACCACAAAUGGUGUCACAACAUCCACAGUUUCUCCCACAACAACCACAGCUGCUGCCACAACAACCACAAGUGCUGCCACCACAACCACAGGUGCCGCCACGGUCACCACAGCAGGCAUCACAGCUACCACAGUUGCUCAUUCAACAUCCACAGCUGCUCCAACUACAACCUCAACUACGUCAAUGAUGACCACCACAGCUCCUGCCAUGACAACGACACCUGCAACUGCUGGAGCAGCCACCUUAACCAUAGUUGCUGUCAUGACAACCACAGAUAAUCCAACUACAACCACAAAUGGAGUCACAACAUCCACAGUUUCUCCCACAACAACCACAGUUUCUCCCACAACAACCACAGGUGCUGCCACCACAACCACAGGUGCUGCUACGGUCACCACAGCAGGCAUCACAACUACCACAGUUGCUCAAUCAACAACCACAGCUGCUCCAACUACAACCUCAACUACGUCCAUGGUGACCACCACAGUUCCUGCCAUGACAAUGACACCUGCAACGGCUGCCGCUGCAACCACAACCACAGUUGCUGCAACAAUGACCACAGGUGCUCCAACUACAACAACAGCUACUGCUGCAACCACAACCACAGCUGCCCCCACGGCCACCACAGCUGGCAAGACAACUACCACAAUUCCGGUCACAACAACCACAGCUGCUUCGACUUCAACAACAGCAGCAACCACCACAAUCACAGGAGCUGCCACCACAACCACUACUGCUCCUACUACAACCACAGCUCAUGUCACGACAACCACAGAUGCUCCAACUACAACCACAAAUGGAGUCACAACAUCCACAGUUUCUCCCACAACAACCACAGCUGCUGCCACAGCAACCACAGAUGCUCCAACUACAACAACAAAUGGAGUCACAACAACCACAGUUUCUUCCACAACAACCACAGGUGCUGCCACCACAACCACAGGUGCCGCCGCCACAACCACAGGUUCCUCCACCACAACCACAGGUACCGCCACGGUCACCACAGCAGGCAUCACAACUACCACAGUUGCUCAUUCAACAACCACAGCUACUCCAUUUACAACCUCAACUACGUCCACAGAUGCUCUAACUACAAACACUGUUGGCGUUGCAAAAACCACAGCUUCACCAACUACAACUACAGCUGCUUCCUCUACAACCACAGCUGCUGCCACUUCAACCACAACAGCUGCUCCCACAACUACAGCUGCCACCACAAUAACCACAGAUUCUCUAACUACAAACACAGCUACUGCCACAUCAACAACUUAUCCAACUACAACCACAGUAGCUUCCUCUGCAACCACACCUUCUGCCACAACAACUAUACCUGCUGCCACUAUUACCACAGCUGUUCAAACUGCAACCAACGCAGCAGCCAACACAACCACAGCAGCUGCCACAACAACCAUAGUUGCUGCCACGACAACCACAGCAUCUCCAACUACAAUCACAGCUGACAAAACAACAACCACAUCUUCUGCCCCAACAACUACAGCUGCUUCCUCUACAACCACAGCUGCCUCCUCUACAACCACAGCUGCUUCCUCUACAACCACAGCUGCUUCUUCUACAACCACAGCCGCUUCCUCUACAACCACAGCUGCUUCCUCUACAACCACAGCUGCUUCCUCUACAACCACAACUGCUUCCUCUACAACCACAACUGCUUCCUCUACAACCACAGCUGCUUCCUCUACAACCACAGUUGCUGCCGCAACAACUAUACCUGCUCCCACAACAACCACAGCAGAUGCCACCACAACCACAGCUGCUCCAUCUACAUCCGGAAAUGCCCUCACAACAACCACAGAUGCUCCAACCACAACAGACACAAACACAACCACAGCUGCUGCCACGGCAACAACUGCUUCUCCAACUAGAACCACAGCUGCUUCCACUACAACCACAGCUGCUUCCACUACAGCCAUAGGUGCUGCAACGACAACCACAGCAGCUGCCCCUACAACAACAGCUGCUCCAACUACAACCACAAAUGCCCCCACCACAUCCACAGCUGGCAACAGGACUACCACAGUUGCUACUACAACAGGCACAGCUGCGUCUACAACAGCCAGAGCUACUACAGCAAUAGCUGCCACUACCACCACUGCUGCUGGAACGAAUACCACAACUGCUUCGACUACAGCCACAACUUCUGCGACGACAACCACAGCUGCUGCCACAAACACCACUGUACCAACAACAACCAAAAUUGUUCCCACAACCACCACAGCCACCGCUACCACAACUACGUCAACAGCGGCACCGACAGCGAAUGAGGGGUCAAUGGGAUUAGGAUUCAGAAUGAUCCGUGCAUUCCAAAGUGACUAUACUGAUUCUUCCACAGCAGCAUAUCAGGAACUGGCAGAAAAUGUUACCACAGAGGUGAAUCAUGGUUACAAAAGAAUUUACCCUUUAACAUACGUAAGGUGUAGGAUUAUUCAGUUCACGAGAGGGUCAAUUAUUGUCAACAUGACCCUUAUUUUCAAAAACCAGACAGUGGUUCCCAAUGUAACGAGUGUGGAGCAGGGAUUGAAUGACUCUCUGUCUCACGGGAACACCUUCCUCGACAUUGAUACAACCUCCAUUACUGCAAGAACUACAACUUCUGCAGCCACCACAUUUGCCGCAACUACCACAGCCACCCCCACAACAACAAAAACAGCUGGUCCUACACCAAACACAGCUGCUUCAACAACAUCUGUUGUUGAAUCAACAAUAAACAAUGCUGCCGCCUCCAGUGGAAUAACCUACAAGACAAGUCUACUCAUCUGUCUUGUUAUGUUGUCACAACUGCUUGACUAAUACUGAUAUAACUGAUCACCACUAUGACAGGGAAACUUACCAACAAUGUAAUCAUAUUUAUUAUUAGAACUGUAUACAAUCUAUUGAACAGCUUGAGGAUAAUGUAAAAAAAAAGAUAACUGUUCUACCAAUUAUCAACAGGAUUUUAAGAAUCUUGAUAGUUAUUCCUUCUACUUACUGUACUAAUACUUAUUGUAACUGAAUGGUGUAUUUAUACUGUUUUGUAAUUCACUAUUACUCAUACUUUGAAUGAAGAAAAUGCUGGUUUCGUUUUCUGUACCGGAUUAAUGAAGAAAUUAAAUGAAAUGCAAUCCAUUACCUGAAAAGACGUUCACUUCCCUUAAGUUACAUUUCAAUAAUUAUUAUUGUGUGCCAACUGCAUCUGUUAUGUCUUGUUCACAUACAACAUAAACACCACUUUAUUUCUAUGAUAGGAAUGAGAUAUGAAUAUCAGAAGAUCGAUUUCAAGCCGAACAGGACAUUUGUUUACAAUGGCAACAACACCAAAAAGACACUGGCUAUGAUAAGUUUGGACAGUAAUCGCAGAAAGGGCAUUUCUAAAUUCAUGAAUAUCUGAAGGUAUAUUUCAUAGGUCGAAAUUCAUUAAAAUAUUAGACUGGCUGUAAUAUGUUACUGGGUGUUUGUGAAGUGAAAUAUGUUGUCAACACACUUUAAAAAUGGGAUAAACAAGAUUAGUCCUUUCAGAUAUAAUUUUUUGUUCCGCUUACCUAUCUCAUUGUUCAUCUCCUAUAGUCUUGAGGGAGGGCUUUGAACACACCUCAACCAUUUUUUUGUCACCCUGAUUUCGCCAAUUGUGUAUCUAUGUAUUUCUCUGCUAGAGUUGAAGUAUUAGAGAGAGGCCUUACAGACAUUAUAAAACCAGUGUAUCUCUCAUGUACACAAAACUGUGUCACAUAUCACAUCAAGGCAGAAAGAUUAACAUAUUUUGGUGGCAAAUAAAGGCCUAAGCACAAAAAAGGUUCAUGCUAUGCUAACUGAAUGGUGAUCUGAGAGUAUGUUGUUAAUUUAUAGGUAAUUUAACUUCAGGCUCUUUGUAGAAGGUAUCAACCUCAGAAAAAUAACCAUGAAGGGACUUUCAACCUCAACCCAUCCAUUAAAAAUACCAUGCCUAAAUAUAAUUAUUUGCAGACUUGAUUGAAUUGAUACAGGACUUGGUAAAUAUUCUUCAUUCAUUAGUGAGAGGGAACUACAACGCACAAGGCAAUGUUUAAUAG